AUGGCUUAGAGGUUAAGAGCACUGGC
RNAcentral lists this non-coding RNA (26 nucleotides) under Cricetulus griseus (Chinese hamster). The record is from RNAcentral. Lineage: Eukaryota; Metazoa; Chordata; Mammalia; Rodentia; Cricetidae.